Molecule: ribosomal RNA, 489 nt
Filed under: uncultured bacterium
Lineage: Bacteria
Description: partial 16S ribosomal RNA
Rfam family: Bacterial small subunit ribosomal RNA
Source: RNAcentral
UUGAACGCUGGCGGCAGGCCUAACACAUGCAAGUCGAACGGUAACAGGGAUCAGCUUGCUGAUUCGCUGACGAGUGGCGGACGGGUGAGUAAUGUCUGGGAAACUGCCUGAUGGAGGGGGAUAACUACUGGAAACGGUAGCUAAUACCGCAUAACGUCGCAAGACCAAAGAGGGGGACCUUCGGGCCUCUUGCCAUCGGAUGUGCCCAGAUGGGAUUAGCUAGUAGGUGGGGUAACGGCUCACCUAGGCGACGAUCCCUAGCUGGUCUGAGAGGAUGACCAGCCACACUGGAACUGAGACACGGUCCAGACUCCUACGGGAGGCAGCAGUGGGGAAUAUUGCACAAUGGGCGCAAGCCUGAUGCAGCCACGCCGCGUGUAUGAAGAAGGCCUUCGGGUUGUAAAGUACUUUCAGCGGGGAGGAAGGGAGUAAAGUUAAUACCUGUGCUCAUUGACGUUACCCGCAGAAGAAGCACCGGCUAACUCCGUG